GAUUUCUGGCUUGAAACAUUUUGCCGGCCACGGUUUCGUGUGUUAGUGCUUGAUGUUCUGGCCAUCCUUCCAAUCGCUAUUGGUUAUUCUUCAUUGAAUGGUCAGUAGUAUUGGAUCUUUUACUUUGAAAAAAUUAGAGUGUUUCAAGCAGGCUUUAUGCUAUGAAUACAUUAGCAUGGAAUAAUAAUUUAGGACUUCGGUUCUAUUUUGUUGGUUUCUAGGACUGAAGUAAUGAUUGAUAGGGAUAGUUGGGGGUGCUAGUAUUCAGCGGCCAGAGGUGAAAUUCUCGGAUUCGCUGAAGACUAACUUAUGCGAAAGCAUU
RNAcentral lists this ribosomal RNA (322 nucleotides) under uncultured Cercozoa. Its description in RNAcentral is "bacterial SSU rRNA". The stretch from base 112 to 322 matches the Rfam family "Eukaryotic small subunit ribosomal RNA", at positions 744 to 955 of the family's 1831-position model. The record is from RNAcentral. Lineage: Eukaryota; Cercozoa.